Molecule: ribosomal RNA, 468 nt
Filed under: uncultured bacterium
Lineage: Bacteria
Description: partial 16S ribosomal RNA
Rfam family: Bacterial small subunit ribosomal RNA
Source: RNAcentral
GACGAACGCUGGCGGCGUGCUUAACACAUGCAAGUCGAACGGAAAGGCCCUGCUUUUGUGGGGUGCUCGUGUGGCGAACGGGUGAGUAACACGUGAGUAACCUGCCCUUGACUUUGGGAUAACUUCAGGAAACUGGGGCUAAUACCGGAUAGGAGCUCCUGCUGCAUGUUGGGGGUUGGAAAGUUUCGGCGGUUGGGGAUGGACUCGCGGCUUAUCAGCUUGUUGGUGGGGUAGUGGCUUACCAAGGCUGUGACGGGUAGCCGGCCUGAGAGGGUGACCGGCGACAUUGGGACUGAGAUACGGACCAGACUCCUACGGGAGGCAGCAGUGGGGAAUAUUGCACAAUAGGGGGAAGCCUGAUGCAGCAACGCCGCGUGCGGGAUGACGGCCUUCGGGUUGUAAACCGCUUUCGCCUGUGACGAAGAGUGAGUGACGGUAAUGGGUAAAGAAGCACCGGCUAACUACGUG